UACGUAGGUGGCAAGCGUUAUCCGGAUUUACUGGGUGUAAGGGGCGUGUAGGCGGGAGAGCAAGUCAGACGUGAAAUUCCAGGGCUCAACCCUGGAACUGCGUUUGAAACUGUUCUUCUUGAGUGAUGGAGAGGCAGGCGGAAUUCCGUGUGUAGCGGUGAAAUGCGUAGAUAUACGGAGGAACACCAGUGGCGAAGGCGGCCUGCUGGACAUUAACUGACGCUGAGGCGCGAAAGCGUGGGGAGCAAACAGG
This 253-nucleotide ribosomal RNA is filed under the name uncultured bacterium. RNAcentral's name for it is "partial 16S ribosomal RNA". It matches the Rfam family "Bacterial small subunit ribosomal RNA", at positions 524 to 776 of the family's 1533-position model. The record is from RNAcentral.